This 2802-nucleotide ribosomal RNA is filed under the name Escherichia coli. RNAcentral's name for it is "bacterial LSU rRNA". It matches the Rfam family "Bacterial large subunit ribosomal RNA". Lineage: Bacteria; Pseudomonadati; Pseudomonadota; Gammaproteobacteria; Enterobacterales; Enterobacteriaceae. The record is from RNAcentral.
GGGUUGUGAGGUUAAGCGACUAAGCGUACACGGUGGAUGCCCUGGCAGUCAGAGGCGAUGAAGGACGUGCUAAUCUGCGAUAAGCGUCGGUAAGGUGAUAUGAACCGUUAUAACCGGCGAUUUCCGAAUGGGGAAACCCAGUGUGUUUCGACACACUAUCAUUAACUGAAUCCAUAGGUUAAUGAGGCGAACCGGGGGAACUGAAACAUCUAAGUACCCCGAGGAAAAGAAAUCAACCGAGAUUCCCCCAGUAGCGGCGAGCGAACGGGGAGCAGCCCAGAGCCUGAAUCAGUGUGUGUGUUAGUGGAAGCGUCUGGAAAGGCGCGCGAUACAGGGUGACAGCCCCGUACACAAAAAUGCACAUGCUGUGAGCUCGAUGAGUAGGGCGGGACACGUGGUAUCCUGUCUGAAUAUGGGGGGACCAUCCUCCAAGGCUAAAUACUCCUGACUGACCGAUAGUGAACCAGUACCGUGAGGGAAAGGCGAAAAGAACCCCGGCGAGGGGAGUGAAAAAGAACCUGAAACCGUGUACGUACAAGCAGUGGGAGCACGCUUAGGCGUGUGACUGCGUACCUUUUGUAUAAUGGGUCAGCGACUUAUAUUCUGUAGCAAGGUUAACCGAAUAGGGGAGCCGAAGGGAAACCGAGUCUUAACUGGGCGUUAAGUUGCAGGGUAUAGACCCGAAACCCGGUGAUCUAGCCAUGGGCAGGUUGAAGGUUGGGUAACACUAACUGGAGGACCGAACCGACUAAUGUUGAAAAAUUAGCGGAUGACUUGUGGCUGGGGGUGAAAGGCCAAUCAAACCGGGAGAUAGCUGGUUCUCCCCGAAAGCUAUUUAGGUAGCGCCUCGUGAAUUCAUCUCCGGGGGUAGAGCACUGUUUCGGCAAGGGGGUCAUCCCGACUUACCAACCCGAUGCAAACUGCGAAUACCGGAGAAUGUUAUCACGGGAGACACACGGCGGGUGCUAACGUCCGUCGUGAAGAGGGAAACAACCCAGACCGCCAGCUAAGGUCCCAAAGUCAUGGUUAAGUGGGAAACGAUGUGGGAAGGCCCAGACAGCCAGGAUGUUGGCUUAGAAGCAGCCAUCAUUUAAAGAAAGCGUAAUAGCUCACUGGUCGAGUCGGCCUGCGCGGAAGAUGUAACGGGGCUAAACCAUGCACCGAAGCUGCGGCAGCGACGCUGAUGCGUUGUUGGGUAGGGGAGCGUUCUGUAAGCCUGUGAAGGUGUGCUGUGAGGCAUGCUGGAGGUAUCAGAAGUGCGAAUGCUGACAUAAGUAACGAUAAAGCGGGUGAAAAGCCCGCUCGCCGGAAGACCAAGGGUUCCUGUCCAACGUUAAUCGGGGCAGGGUGAGUCGACCCCUAAGGCGAGGCCGAAAGGCGUAGUCGAUGGGAAACAGGUUAAUAUUCCUGUACUUGGUGUUACUGCGAAGGGGGGACGGAGAAGGCUAUGUUGGCCGGGCGACGGUUGUCCCGGUUUAAGCGUGUAGGCUGGUUUUCCAGGCAAAUCCGGAAAAUCAAGGCUGAGGCGUGAUGACGAGGCACUACGGUGCUGAAGCAACAAAUGCCCUGCUUCCAGGAAAAGCCUCUAAGCAUCAGGUAACAUCAAAUCGUACCCCAAACCGACACAGGUGGUCAGGUAGAGAAUACCAAGGCGCUUGAGAGAACUCGGGUGAAGGAACUAGGCAAAAUGGUGCCGUAACUUCGGGAGAAGGCACGCUGAUAUGUAGGUGAAGUCCCUCGCGGAUGGAGCUGAAAUCAGUCGAAGAUACCAGCUGGCUGCAACUGUUUAUUAAAAACACAGCACUGUGCAAACACGAAAGUGGACGUAUACGGUGUGACGCCUGCCCGGUGCCGGAAGGUUAAUUGAUGGGGUUAGCGCAAGCGAAGCUCUUGAUCGAAGCCCCGGUAAACGGCGGCCGUAACUAUAACGGUCCUAAGGUAGCGAAAUUCCUUGUCGGGUAAGUUCCGACCUGCACGAAUGGCGUAAUGAUGGCCAGGCUGUCUCCACCCGAGACUCAGUGAAAUUGAACUCGCUGUGAAGAUGCAGUGUACCCGCGGCAAGACGGAAAGACCCCGUGAACCUUUACUAUAGCUUGACACUGAACAUUGAGCCUUGAUGUGUAGGAUAGGUGGGAGGCUUUGAAGUGUGGACGCCAGUCUGCAUGGAGCCGACCUUGAAAUACCACCCUUUAAUGUUUGAUGUUCUAACGUUGACCCGUGAUCCGGGUUGCGGACAGUGUCUGGUGGGUAGUUUGACUGGGGCGGUCUCCUCCUAAAGAGUAACGGAGGAGCACGAAGGUUGGCUAAUCCUGGUCGGACAUCAGGAGGUUAGUGCAAUGGCAUAAGCCAGCUUGACUGCGAGCGUGACGGCGCGAGCAGGUGCGAAAGCAGGUCAUAGUGAUCCGGUGGUUCUGAAUGGAAGGGCCAUCGCUCAACGGAUAAAAGGUACUCCGGGGAUAACAGGCUGAUACCGCCCAAGAGUUCAUAUCGACGGCGGUGUUUGGCACCUCGAUGUCGGCUCAUCACAUCCUGGGGCUGAAGUAGGUCCCAAGGGUAUGGCUGUUCGCCAUUUAAAGUGGUACGCGAGCUGGGUUUAGAACGUCGUGAGACAGUUCGGUCCCUAUCUGCCGUGGGCGCUGGAGAACUGAGGGGGGCUGCUCCUAGUACGAGAGGACCGGAGUGGACGCAUCACUGGUGUUCGGGUUGUCAUGCCAAUGGCACUGCCCGGUAGCUAAAUGCGGAAGAGAUAAGUGCUGAAAGCAUCUAAGCACGAAACUUGCCCCGAGAUGAGUUCUCCCUGAC